GAGAAGCCGUCUUCGGAUGGUGGACAGUGGCGCACGGGUGAGUAACGCGUGGGUAUCUGCCCUGGAGUGGGGGACAACUGCUGGAAACGGCAGCUAAUACCGCAUACGCCCUUAGGGGGAAAGCUUUAUGCGCUCCAGGAUGAGCCCGCGUCGGAUUAGCUUGUUGGUGAGGUAACGGCUCACCAAGGCGACGAUCCGUAGCUGGUCUGAGAGGAUGAUCAGCCACACUGGGACUGAGACACGGCCCAGACUCCUACGGGAGGCAGCAGUGGGGAAUAUUGGACAAUGGGCGCAAGCCUGAUCCAGCAAUGCCGCGUGUGUGAAGAAGGCCUUCGGGUUGUAAAGCACUUUCACUCGCGAAGAUGAUGACGGUAGCGAGAGAAGAAGCCCCGGCUAACUCCGUGCCAGCAGCCGCGGUAAUACGGAGGGGGCUAGCGUUGUUCGGAAUUACUGGGCGUAAAGGGCGUGUAGGCGGCUUUGCCAGUCAGGCGUGAAAGCCCCGGGCUUAACCUGGGAACUGCGCUUGAUACUGCGAGGCUAGAGUUCGGGAGAGGAGAGUGGAAUUCCCAGUGUAGAGGUGAAAUUCGUAGAUAUUGGGAAGAACACCA
RNAcentral lists this ribosomal RNA (608 nucleotides) under Nisaea nitritireducens. Its description in RNAcentral is "bacterial SSU rRNA". It matches the Rfam family "Bacterial small subunit ribosomal RNA", at positions 68 to 711 of the family's 1533-position model. The record is from RNAcentral. Lineage: Bacteria; Pseudomonadati; Pseudomonadota; Alphaproteobacteria; Rhodospirillales; Thalassobaculaceae.